UUCUUUCUUUUUUUUUUUUUUUUUGUUCUUUUUUUCGGAGCUGGGGACCAAACCCAGGGCCUUGCGCUUCCUAGGUAAGCGCUCUACCACUGAGCUAAAUCCCCAGCCCCUACAUUUUUUCUUUUAUAAAAUAUUUACCAGGAAAACAAAGAUAGACAUCAAGUCCAAAAUGCCUUUAUAUUUACUUACAUUAGCUACAAAUUAAAAACUAAAAUUAAAAACUUUCUUUAGCUUAAGGACAAAGAAAAUAUUUUAAAGAAUCAACGUCAGGGUUGUUUAGUUUUCUUACUUUUACUAGUUCCUUCUUGGUCUGAUGGUACAUUUGUACUUUCUUGUGUUUUUUCAAGAUCAUGUUGCAGAACCUAAAAGAGAAACAUGUUUUAAUAGCAAGACCUUAAAAUACAUGUUCCCUAUAGAAAAAAAAAAUACUAUGUGGUUUUUACCCAAGCCCAGGGCUAUAAAUCAGGAACUAUAACAGUAUCUAAAGUGUUUCAAAGAGGCUUUAGUUAACAAUUAAAAAAUGGGUAACUAAAACCAUUUGCUACUUAAAUAAAUACAAAAUAAUUUAAAUGACUAGACUAAAACAGAUCCUACAAGUUUUUACUAUUUUUCUUGGGAUUGUCUCUCAGAAUUAAAGAAUAUAUUUGUAACCUUUAAGUGAAUGACACAGAAAUCAGAAAGUAGAGGAAGAUGAACAAAGUUAGCGC
RNAcentral lists this long non-coding RNA (707 nucleotides) under Rattus norvegicus (Norway rat). RNAcentral's name for it is "long non-coding RNA NONRATT011527". Lineage: Eukaryota; Metazoa; Chordata; Mammalia; Rodentia; Muridae. The record is from RNAcentral.